This 205-nucleotide unclassified non-coding RNA is filed under the name Hevea brasiliensis (rubber tree). Lineage: Eukaryota; Viridiplantae; Streptophyta; Magnoliopsida; Malpighiales; Euphorbiaceae. The record is from RNAcentral.
UGUUGAAGAAAUGAGAGCUGAAGAAAAUGAAGCUUCUUUUAUGAUGCAUGAUUUAAAUUUUUCAAUCUACUUUUUUAUGAAGGCUCACAUGGUUGAAGAUGCCGUAAGGGCUUACCGAAAAAUGCAGGCAAUGAAGAUCCAUCCGACGGUGUCAACUUUCAUGAAUCUGCUUAAUGGGUAUUCUUCUUUAGGGAUGUAUCGUGAA